This 266-nucleotide ribosomal RNA is filed under the name uncultured bacterium. RNAcentral describes it as "partial 16S ribosomal RNA". It matches the Rfam family "Bacterial small subunit ribosomal RNA", at positions 333 to 616 of the family's 1533-position model. The record is from RNAcentral.
UUGGCCCUACGGGGGGCAGCAGUGGGGGAUAUUGCACAAUGGGGGAAACCCUGAUGCAGCGACGCCGCGUGGGUGAAGAAGCGCCUCGGCGCGUAAAGCCCUAUCGGCAGGGAAGAAGAUGACGGUACCUGACCAAGAAGCCCCGGCUAACUACGUGCCAGCAGCCGCGGUAAUACGUAGGGGGCAAGCGCUAUCCGGAUUUACUGGGUGUAAAGGGGGCGCAGACGGCAAUGCAAGCCAGGAGUGAAAGCCCGGGGCCCAACCCC